UUGUCCUGGCCUGUGCUUUUUCUGCUUCCCUGUGCUUAGUUCUGACAGGGUAAACACAAAGAAAAAAAAGAAAGAAAAAAU
Non-coding RNA from Cercocebus atys (sooty mangabey), 81 nucleotides. The record is from Ensembl. NCBI's taxonomy places the organism in Eukaryota, Metazoa, Chordata, Mammalia, Primates, Cercopithecidae.